This 468-nucleotide ribosomal RNA is filed under the name uncultured bacterium. Its description in RNAcentral is "partial 16S ribosomal RNA". It matches the Rfam family "Bacterial small subunit ribosomal RNA", at positions 28 to 507 of the family's 1533-position model. The record is from RNAcentral.
GACGAACGCUGGCGGCGUGCUUAACACAUGCAAGUCGAACGGAAAGGCCCUGCUUUUGUGGGGUGCUCGAGUGGCGAACGGGUGAGUAACACGUGAGUAACCUGCCCUUGACUUUGGGAUAACUUCAGGAAACUGGGGCUAAUACCGGAUAGGAGCUCCUGCUGCAUGGUGGGGGUUGGAAAGUUUCGGCGGUUGGGGAUGGACUCGCGGCUUAUCAGCUUGUUGGUGGGGUAGUGGCUUACCAAGGCUUUGACGGGUAGCCGGCCUGAGAGGGUGACCGGCCACAUUGGGACUGAGAUACGGCCCGGACUCCUACGGGAGGCAGCAGUGGGGAAUAUUGCACAAUGGGCGGAAGCCUGAUGCAGCAACGCCGCGUGCGUGAUGACGGCCGUCGGGUUGUAAACCGCUUUCGCCUGUGACGAAGCGUGAGUGACGGUAAUGGGUAAAGAAGCACCGGCUAACUACGUG